RNAcentral lists this non-coding RNA (147 nucleotides) under Nomascus leucogenys (northern white-cheeked gibbon). Lineage: Eukaryota; Metazoa; Chordata; Mammalia; Primates; Hylobatidae. The record is from Rfam by way of RNAcentral.
GCCGGGUGUGGUGUUGGGCGCCUGUAAUCCCAGCUAGUGGGAGGCUGAGGCAGGAGAAUUGCUUGAAUCCAGGAGGCAGAGGUUGCAGUGAACCGAGACCGGUCCACUACACUCCAGCCUGGGUGACAGAGCAAGACUCUGUCUUGU